RNAcentral lists this ribosomal RNA (550 nucleotides) under uncultured bacterium. RNAcentral's name for it is "bacterial SSU rRNA". It matches the Rfam family "Bacterial small subunit ribosomal RNA", at positions 746 to 1296 of the family's 1533-position model. The record is from RNAcentral.
CUGAGACACGAAAGCGUGGGUAGCAAACAGGAUUAGAUACCCUGGUAGUCCACGCCCUAANCGAUGCAUAUUUGGUGUGGGUCAUUCAGUUGAUCCGUGCCGGAGCUAACGCGUUAAAUAUGCCGCCUGGGGAGUACAGUCGCAAGGCUGAAACUCAAAGGAAUUGACGGGGGCCCGCACAAGCGGUGGAGCAUGUGGUUCAAUUCGACGCAACGCGAAGAACCUUACCUGGGCUCGAACGGCUGGUCAACGGCGGUGGAAACACUGUUACCCCGCAAGGGGGUCCAGUCGAGGUGCUGCAUGGCUGUCGUCAGCUCGUGUCGUGAGAUGUUGGGUUAAGUCCCGCAACGAGCGCAACCCUUGUCCUGUGUUGCCAUGCCGAAAGGCGGAACUCGCAGGAGACCGCCAGCGAUAAGCUGGAGGAAGGUGGGGAUGACGUCAAGUCCUCAUGGCCUUUAUGUCCAGGGCUACACACGUGCUACAAUGGACGGUACAAAGCGCAGCGAACCCGCGAGGGGGAGCCAAUCGCAAAAAACCGUUCUCAGUUCGG